CAAUAGCGUAUAUUAAAGUUGUUGCAGUUAAAAGCUCGUAGUUGGAUUUCUGGCAGGAGCGACCGGUCGCACGCUAUGCGUGUGAACUUGUGUUGUCUCUGGCCAUCCUUGGGGAGAUCCCGUUUGGCAUUAAGUUGUCGGGCGGGGGAUACCCAUCGUUUACUGUGAAAAAUUAGAGUGUUCAAAGCAGGCCUAUGCUCUGAAUAGGUUAGCAUGGAAUAAUAAAAUAGGACUUUGGUUCUAUUUUGUUGGUUUCUAGGACCGAAGUAAUGAUUAAUAGGGACAGUUGGGGGCAUUCAUAUUCCAAUGUCAGAGGUGAAAUUCUUGGAUUAUCGGAAGAUGAACUUCUGCGAAAGCAUCUGCCAAGGAUGUUUUCAUUGAUCAAGAACGAAAGUUAGGGGAUCGAAGACGAUUAGAUACCAU
This 423-nucleotide ribosomal RNA is filed under the name uncultured eukaryote. Its description in RNAcentral is "bacterial SSU rRNA". It matches the Rfam family "Eukaryotic small subunit ribosomal RNA", at positions 592 to 1018 of the family's 1831-position model. The record is from RNAcentral.